Molecule: ribosomal RNA, 1401 nt
Filed under: Triticum aestivum (bread wheat)
Lineage: Eukaryota; Viridiplantae; Streptophyta; Magnoliopsida; Poales; Poaceae
Description: partial small subunit ribosomal RNA
Source: RNAcentral
AUGGCGUCAGAAAGGUCGAUCUUGUGUCUGCUCGUGCUUCUUCUUCUCUGUGCCGUUUCUCUGGCUGCUUCGCCACGCUUCCUCUCCGUCAGCCUCGACAGGCUGAUCAACUCCAAGCCUCACGUCGACUGCCCUCCCUUCAUGUCCCCCGCCGCAAGUUCCGGCAACAAGAUCCCUAUCCGUCAUCCCUGCGUCUGCCCGCCAUAUUGCGGCGGGACAAAGCAGACGAGGCGCGACAUCCAUGGCCAUGACAAAGCCCGGCUGAGCACCCUACGCCAGAGGUCGCUCGUCCCCGCGCCAGCUGCAGCGCCCAUUCCAGCAGAGGCGCCAUCCGUCAGCAUCCCGGAUCACUCAGGGGAUUUCCUCGAGUCGCCGGAGUUCAUUGUCGUUGUCGGCUUCGGAACACCGGCUCAGCCAUCUUCCGUCAUGUUUGACACCGGCAGCGACAUGUCGUGGAUCCAGUGCAAGCCGUGCUCCGGCUACUGCCAUCCGCAGCAUGACCCCGUCUUCGACCCCACCAAAUCCACCACCUAUGUUGCCGUGCCCUGUGGCCAACCAUUGUGCUCACAUACCGGCAGCAAGUGCAACGGCACCACCUGCCUAUACUCCAUGGACUAUGUCGAUGGCUCGUCCGAAUGGAGUACAUCUGGCAUCCUCUCCCAGGACACGUUGACGCUCACUUCCUCAACCAAGCUGUCCAGCAUCCCGUUCGGAUGCGGCCAGCAAAACCUGGGGAAGUUUGGCUACGUCGACGGGCUGCUCGGCCUUGGCCGUGGCAAACUCUCACUGUCUUCACAAGCAGGUCAUUCGUUCGGCAGCACCUUCUCCUACUGUCUACCGUCCGACAACAGCACGACCGGGUACCUCAGCAUCGGCUCGACGCCGGUCUCCAACCAAGUAGUCCAGUACACGGCGAUGAUACAGAAGUCUAGCUACCCAUCAUUGUACUUCGUCGAGCUCGUCUCCAUCAACAUCGGUGGUUACAUCCUGCCGGUGCCACCCUCCAUAUUCACGAGCACCGGCACCGUCUUGGACUCCGGCACCAUCCUUACGCAUCUACCUGGGCAGGCAUACACCGCGCUUCGCGACCGGUUCAAGUUCACCAUGCAAGGGAGCAAAACAGCGCCGCCGCAAGAAAAUCUCGACACGUGCUAUGACUUCGCCGGCCAGAGUGGAAUCUUAAUACCGGCGGUGUCACUCAUAUUCAGUGAUGGCGCGGUUUUCGACCUUAACUUCUAUGGGAUCUUGAUCUUCCCACAGCCGACCAUCGGCUGCCUCGCGUUCAUGCCGCGGCCGGCGUCGACACCAUUCUCCAUCAUCGGCAAUACGCAGCAGCGGUCGACCGAGGUGAUAUACAACGUUGCCGCGGAGAAGAUCGGUUUUGUCCCCAACAGUUGUUGA